GCGCUGCCUUUGAACUCCCGCUGCGCCUGCGCGUGGCGCCGGGGGUCAGGCUGCAGCGCCAGAGCAGAUGCUCGCGCAUAACUGGGGCCGACUGUUCCCCCACCUUGGCGGCCUUUUUAACCGCGAGCGACACUG
Molecule: small nucleolar RNA, 135 nt
Organism: Pteronotus mesoamericanus
Lineage: Eukaryota; Metazoa; Chordata; Mammalia; Chiroptera; Mormoopidae
Source: RefSeq, a predicted model, not a curated record